Molecule: long non-coding RNA, 495 nt
Filed under: Cricetulus griseus (Chinese hamster)
Lineage: Eukaryota; Metazoa; Chordata; Mammalia; Rodentia; Cricetidae
Description: lncRNA (ENSCGRG00000024506.1)
Source: RNAcentral
CUGAGAUUUGGCUCCCAACAAACAAGGACUGCGAUAUGUGGCCAGCUAACCUAUUCCUUAUAUUUUCCCCCUAGGACUCUGAUCUUUGAAGAAAUUAGUUUGGCUAUGGAACCUUCUAACUGAGAUCCUUCAUGUCCUGUGAGAACCCCAAAGACCCAGAUGGAGUGGUCUUCAAAUGCUGGAAGCCUGCGCCAGUGGGCAGUGUGGAGAGCCUAAGAAGAUGCCCGCAGGUCAGAUCUGGAGAAGGCAGAUUGCUAAACUUGGUUACCACUCUGCCCACUUCACCAGCGGUAGGACAGACACACCCUAAUUAUACCACCUCCUAGAAAUGGCAACCGGAACUUCUACAUUGCUGCUUAAAAACAGUGACACCAACCAACAUACGGAGAUGUCAUCGUUAUUAAACAGCACAUGAUAGCUGGAGACGGUGCAAUAAUAAUCUAAACAAUCACAAAGAAACGUUCUCUGAAGAUCCAGAAACGGAUUUUGAAGACU